ACGUAGGGUGCAGGCGUUAAUCGGAAUUACUGGGCGUAAAGCGUGCGCAGGCGGUCUUUUAAGUCAGAUGUGAAAUCCCCGGGCUUAACCUGGGAACUGCGUUUGAAACUGGAAGGCUUGAGUGUGGCAGAGGGGGGUGGAAUUCCACGUGUAGCAGUGAUAUGCGUAGAGAUGUGGAGGAACACCGAUGGCGAAGGCAGCCCCCUGGGCUAACACUGACGCUCAUGCACGAAAGCGUGGGGAGCAAACAGGA
Molecule: ribosomal RNA, 253 nt
Filed under: uncultured prokaryote
Description: partial 16S ribosomal RNA
Rfam family: Bacterial small subunit ribosomal RNA
Source: RNAcentral